This 506-nucleotide ribosomal RNA is filed under the name uncultured bacterium. RNAcentral describes it as "partial 16S ribosomal RNA". It matches the Rfam family "Bacterial small subunit ribosomal RNA", at positions 29 to 523 of the family's 1533-position model. The record is from RNAcentral.
AGUGAACGCUGGCGGUAGGCCUAACACAUGCAAGUCGAACGGCAGCACAGGAGAGCUUGCUCUCUGGGUGGCGAGUGGCGGACGGGUGAGGAAUACAUCGGAAUCUACUCUGUCGUGGGGGAUAACGUGGGGAAACUUACGCUAAUACCGCAUACGACCUACGGGUGAAAGCAGGGGACCUUCGGGCCUUGCGCGAUUGAAUGAGCCGAUGUCGGAUUAGCUAGUUGGCGGGGUAAAGGCCCACCAAGGCGACGAUCCGUAGCUGGUCUGAGAGGAGGAUCAGCCACACUGGAACUGAGACACGGUCCAGACUCCUACGGGAGGCAGCAGUGGGGAAUAUUGGACAAUGGGCGCAAGCCUGAUUCAGCCAUACCGCGUGGGUGAAGAAGGCCUUCGGGUUGUAAAGCCCUUUUGUUGGGAAAGAAAUCCAGCUGGCUAAUACCCGGUUGGGAUGACGGUACCCAAAGAAUAAGCACCGGCUAACUUCGUGCCAGCCGCCGCUGUAA